UACGUAGGGGGCAAGCGUUGUCCGGAUUUAUUGGGCGUAAAGGGCGUGUAGGCGGCCAGACUGGUCUGCUGUGAAAACUCGAGGCUCAACCUCGAGACGCCGGUGGAAACCGUUUGGCUAGAGUCCGGAAGAGGAGAGUGGAAUUCCUGGUGUAGCGGUGAAAUGCGCAGAUAUCAGGAAGAACACCCGUGGCUAAGGCGGCUCUCUAGUACGGUACUGACGCUGAGACGCGAAAGCGUGGGGAGCGAACAGG
This 253-nucleotide ribosomal RNA is filed under the name uncultured bacterium. RNAcentral describes it as "partial 16S ribosomal RNA". It matches the Rfam family "Bacterial small subunit ribosomal RNA", at positions 524 to 776 of the family's 1533-position model. The record is from RNAcentral.